Molecule: ribosomal RNA, 234 nt
Filed under: uncultured bacterium
Lineage: Bacteria
Description: partial 16S ribosomal RNA
Rfam family: Bacterial small subunit ribosomal RNA
Source: RNAcentral
UGGCGGACGGGUGAGUAAUGUCUGGGGAACUGCCCGAUGGAGGGGGAUAACUACUGGAAACGGUAGCUAAUACCGCAUAACGUCGCAAGACCAAAGAGGGGACCUUCGGGCCUCUUGCCAUCGGAUGUGCCCAGAUGGGAUUAGCUAGUAGGUGGGGUAACGGCUCACCUAGGCGACGAUCCCUAGCUGGUCUGAGAGGAUGACCAGCCACACUGGAACUGAGACACGGUCCAG